RNAcentral lists this ribosomal RNA (484 nucleotides) under uncultured bacterium. RNAcentral's name for it is "partial 16S ribosomal RNA". It matches the Rfam family "Bacterial small subunit ribosomal RNA", at positions 28 to 507 of the family's 1533-position model. The record is from RNAcentral.
AUUGAACGCUGGCGGCAUGCUUUACACAUGCCAGUCGAACGGCAGCGCGGGCUUCGGCCUGGCGGCGAGUGGCGAACGGGUGAGUAAUGCAUCGGAACGUGCCCAGUAGUGGGGGAUAGCCCGGCGAAAGCCGGAUUAAUACCGCAUACGACCUGAGGGUGAAAGCGGGGGACCGAAAGGCCUCGCGCUAUUGGAGCGGCCGAUGUCGGAUUAGCUAGUUGGUGGGGUAAAGGCUUACCAAGGCGACGAUCCGUAGCUGGUCUGAGAGGACGACCAGCCACACUGGGACUGAGACACGGCCCAGACUCCUACGGGAGGCAGCAGUGGGGAAUUUUGGACAAAGGGGGCAACCCUGAUCCAGCCAUGCCGCGUGCGGGAAGAAGGCCUUCGGGUUGUAAACCGCUUUUGUUCGGGAAGAAAUCCUCUGGGCUAAUACCCCGGGGGGAUGACGGUACCGGAAGAAUAAGCACCGGCUAACUACGUG